Molecule: ribosomal RNA, 253 nt
Filed under: uncultured bacterium
Lineage: Bacteria
Description: partial 16S ribosomal RNA
Rfam family: Bacterial small subunit ribosomal RNA
Source: RNAcentral
UACGUAGGGUGCGAGCGUUAAUCGGAAUUACUGGGCGUAAAGCGUGCGCAGGCGGUUUGAUAAGUCAGAUGUGAAAGCCCCGGGCUCAACCUGGGAACUGCGUUUGAAACUGUCAAGCUAGAGUGUGUCAGAGGGAGGUAGAAUUCCACGUGUAGCAGUGAAAUGCGUAGAGAUGUGGAGGAAUACCGAUGGCGAAGGCAGCCUCCUGGGAUAACACUGACGCUCAUGCACGAAAGCGUGGGGAGCAAACAGG